Molecule: unclassified non-coding RNA, 397 nt
Filed under: Hevea brasiliensis (rubber tree)
Lineage: Eukaryota; Viridiplantae; Streptophyta; Magnoliopsida; Malpighiales; Euphorbiaceae
Source: RNAcentral
GCCGCGCCUCUCCAAGGGCCAAAAGAUUGAAAAAAACAAUUCUUCAAGAAUCAUUACUUCAAGAAUCCAUACCUCAUAUAUGGUGUGACAACUUCAGACACCUUGCACAAGUCUCCAGGAAUCAGUAAAGCAGAAGCAAAGCAUAUUAAUAAGAUUCCCAAGCUUGAUGCAGAUCUAAAUUAAGAAUGAACAAUUGCAAAACCGAACUGAAAAAUAAGCAGCUCUACUUAAUAGCAUGCUAGUAAAAGGGAGUAACAACAUUAUUUUCCAAUAUUGCAACAUUAUAGCAUUAAGGACAAAUUCAUUUUUUCACCCAAGUUAAACCACCAUAUAUCUAAUCAACAUAAAAGGAAAAACAGAAGGAACUCUUGCAAAGAAAAAAUCAUCUGACAGACUA